RNAcentral lists this ribosomal RNA (471 nucleotides) under uncultured bacterium. RNAcentral's name for it is "bacterial SSU rRNA". It matches the Rfam family "Bacterial small subunit ribosomal RNA", at positions 8 to 526 of the family's 1533-position model. The record is from RNAcentral.
AGAGUUUGAUCCUGGCUCAGAUUGAACGCUGGCGGCGUGGCUAAAACAUGCAAGUCCGGGGCUCAGCAAUGAGCACCGGCGGAAGGGUGAGGAAUACAUUCGAACGUGCCCCAAGGUGGGGGAUAGGCGUGGGAAACUGCGCGUAAUACCCCAUGUGCUCUACGGAGGAAAGCUUCGGCGCCUCGGGAGCGGCGAAUGUCCUAUCAGGUAGUUGGCGGGGUAAUGGCCCACCAAGCCGAAGACGGGUAGCAGGUGUGAGAGCACGGCCUGCCACAUCGGGACUGAGACACUGCCCGGACUCCUACGGGAGGCUGCAGUAACGAAUAUUCCGCAAUGCGCGAAAGCGUGACGGAGCGACGCCGCGUGCAGGAUGAAGCGGCUUUGCCGUGUAAACUGCUGUCAGGAGCUACUAAAACUGAAGUGCUCCAGAGGAAGGGCCGGCUAAUCCUGUGCCAGCAGCCGCGGUAAUUC